CCUACGGGAGGCAGCAGUGAGGAAUAUUGGUCAAUGGACGAGAGUCUGAACCAGCCAAGUAGCGUGAAGGAUGACUGCCCUAUGGGUUGUAAACUUCUUUUAUAUGGGAAUAAAACGUUCCACGUGUGGGAUUUUGUAUGUACUAUAUGAAUAAGGAUCGGCUAACUCCGUGCCAGCAGCCGCGGUAAUACGGAGGAUCCGAGCGUUAUCCGGAUUUAUUGGGUUUAAAGGGAGCGUAGGUGGAUUGUUAAGUCAGUUGUGAAAGUUUGCGGCUCAACCGUAAAAUUGCAGUUGAAACUGGCAGUCUUGAGUACAGUAGAGGUGGGCGGAAUUCGUGGUGUAGCGGUGAAAUGCUUAGAUAUCACGAAGAACUCCGAUUGCGAAGGCAGUUCACUAGACUGCAACUGACACUGAGGCUCGAAAGUGUGGGUAUCAAACAGGAUUAGAUACCCGAGUAGUC
RNAcentral lists this ribosomal RNA (460 nucleotides) under uncultured bacterium. Its description in RNAcentral is "partial 16S ribosomal RNA". It matches the Rfam family "Bacterial small subunit ribosomal RNA", at positions 338 to 795 of the family's 1533-position model. The record is from RNAcentral.